CAAGCACCAUGUGCUGCAGCCCCACAACCACCCUAGUACACAGACUUAUCCAUCAGCCACUGCCACCGCCACCGCCACCGCCGCCAUGCUCCCCGACUCCCCGCUCGCCGUCGUCUUCUCCCCUCCCACUGCAAAUCCGUGCGCCCAAGAUCCCCUACCGCUGCGUAGAUGCCCCACUUCCAGACCGCCGGAUCAACGCCGCCGAUCCCGUCCAAACCCACCGGCCCCCAUGUCGUCCACCGUGACCUACAGCAGUCGCGGCGACUCCCUAUUCCUCUCCCUCCGCGCCCUGGAGUCUCUGGUUGGUCUGUGUUUGUUUCAAACAAGGUGGUCAGGCGUACGUCCUGUGCCUCUCUUUGUUGCUGCACCUCGUUUGAGACGAAAACAGACCAACCGGAGUCUCCUGGCAUAGCAUCAUCAGGAAUUAUAUAAUCUCUUCUUGCCUCAGGAGAUGGGAUGCAGCAGGUUCCAUCUCCAAUUGCAAGCUUCCUAGUAGUAUCGGUCAGGGCCAGGCCGUGAGAAGUGCCAGUUUCUAUUGAUCAAUAAUGGUUACAAUUCAAUCAAUUUCUGUUGUUGCAAUUCAUGUAGCUUUUGGGCUAAGUUGGUUUGAAUCGUUUGAUUUAGGGACAUGGACUUGGUGCCGCGAACUCAUGUUGUCCAAACCUGUUCUGUUGUGAACCAACGUAUGUGCAAGACCUAUAUGGGCUAUGACCCCCUAACUAUAUUUGCCACCCAUGGAUGGAAACCUACAUCACGAAGAGUCAUCUCCAGCUGCUGAUGCCUGUAGGAUUUCCUUGGUUAGCUCCUUACAAGUUGAUAUUGUCAUAUGAAAGGGAAUUGAUGAAACAGUCGACUGAAUUGAUGAAACAGUGGACUGAAGCUCAUCCCCCUAGGUCCAAGGAAUUGAUGAAUUGUUAGUUCCUGGAAGAAGCUGAUGUGUGCCACUCACCGGAGGGGAUUAAUGAAGCUCUUAUAGGUGGUGAAAUCCUUUUUUUGGUCAACUGACUGAUUCGAGCAAAUCUUCGAGGUUGGUGCUCAUAUUUUUGUUUGUGGGGAGUUCUUCACUUGACAAAUCCGUAACGGCUGCUGUCAGGUAAUUAGUUCAGACGUGGGACUGUUUUACCUCAUCUCUUCAUGCAAAUAUAAUCCAAACAUUGUCUAUUUAUAUCAUGGUGUUUCCAUCAAGAUGUUAACUGAACUUCAAAACAAAUCAGUUCGUUGUGAUCACCUAAUUGCCUUAAGUUAUUUGAGACCUGAAAAGCUGGGCCUGUUUAGAAUUGGCUUGCUAUGAUGCUACAGUACUAACAAGUCACAGGUGGUUAAGAGACCUUUAAAUAGAUCCGUUGAGUUUAUAAUUUAUUUAUCAUGGUGUCAUGUAUGCAUUGCGACACAUUCUACCACACUGGCUAGAUGUUUGAUUUGACAGUGUCAUUUGAUAUUCUUUGGAGGUCUCAUUUUUUGAGGAAGGAGAGCCUAAACUUGAUGGGAAACCUAGAGACUUUGAAGGUUUGCUUUGCCCUUUGGUUGAGAUUUAGCAUGGCAUUGAUGUGACUAACUUUUAUUUAUGUGUGCUGUGACUAACUCCGUCUUAAAAGAGUAACUUAUUGAGCAGUUAAUAGUUCGGACAUCACCACAUGAUCGCUUCAGAAGUGAAGUCACCAACCUGCAUGCAACUCCCUGGUAUAUUUCUAGAGCUUGAGCCCAAUUCUUCAGUUUCUGCAAGAUGGUUUCUAAGCACUUGAGUAAAUUUCACUUAUUAUUCUUAAUUCACUUUUCAGUCUUACUAAAUAAUACGUUGAUUAGAAUUUAUCACUUGAUAAGGCUGCUAUUAUGUUUGUGUACAUGUAAUAACAAGCACUUUCCAGGCAUAAACACAUGCUACAGUAAUGCAUUCACGUAAGCUUAUACUCCAAACUUUAGUGUGCAAAGGUGGUGCUACUUGAAUUCUGCACUAACUCAUAAUAACCUUUGCUGUGAGUUUCCUGUAAUUGAAAUGUGUUGCAGUGUGCAUCUGUAUAUGACCAUUGUAUGCUGUAUGAUUCAUGAUCUAUAAUUAAUCAGUCAUGAUCUCCAUUUGUCUGA
Molecule: long non-coding RNA, 2082 nt
Organism: Aegilops tauschii subsp. strangulata
Lineage: Eukaryota; Viridiplantae; Streptophyta; Magnoliopsida; Poales; Poaceae
Source: RefSeq, a predicted model, not a curated record